Long non-coding RNA from Carassius auratus (goldfish), 629 nucleotides. RefSeq lists it as uncharacterized. The transcript is spliced from 3 exons. The record is from RefSeq and is a predicted model, not a curated record. Lineage: Eukaryota; Metazoa; Chordata; Actinopteri; Cypriniformes; Cyprinidae.
UAUUUUGCCCUCACACAAAUGUUGUUUAUUUUGAAUAGUAAUGCCUUAUGAUCAUCCUUACGUCAUUAAUGUGCGCCUUUCUUUACGCGAAAAAUAAACAACCGUUAAUGUCCACAAAUAAGAAUAUGUUAACGUGAAACAUGGCACCUUUAAAACAAACCGCUGAAACUAAAGGUCCGAUUAAAGGAAAAUACUUAAAUAACAUGUGUCCACAUGGUGGUUUAACACACAACGGCAAAAAGAAAAUAAAAUGGGUUCCAGAGAGCAAAGUUUUUGAUGGUAGUGUAAAAGAAGACUCCAUUCAUCCAAAGGAAGCAGAAAAUGUCAUUGUAUCAGAAGACAAAGCAAGAAUAUGAAAGGAUAAAGGAGGUAUGUGCAAGAAAACGAGAGGAAUUCUUGAAAGACAAGCUCAGCGAGAGGAUGCUGUGAAAAAAAAUAUAAGAAGAAAAUAGCAACCUAUCAGUUGUUGAAGAUAAAAACUAAGAAAGGUCAGCCCAACCUCAAUCUGCAUAUGGAGCUAUUGCUGCAAAAGAUUCAAGCUCAGCACAAAUAAUUCACCAUCAAACAUAAAAUGAGACUGUUUAAAGUUAAAAUAGACCAUCACACAAUAAACUCUGCAGUUUGGGUGA